Molecule: ribosomal RNA, 356 nt
Filed under: uncultured Streptococcus sp.
Lineage: Bacteria; Bacillati; Bacillota; Bacilli; Lactobacillales; Streptococcaceae
Description: bacterial SSU rRNA
Rfam family: Bacterial small subunit ribosomal RNA
Source: RNAcentral
ACAUCGGUGACAGGUGGUGCAUGGUUGUCGUCAGCUCGUGUCGUGAGAUGUUGGGUUAAGUCCCGCAACGAGCGCAACCCCUAUUGUUAGUUGCCAUCAUUCAGUUGGGCACUCUAGCGAGACUGCCGGUAAUAAACCGGAGGAAGGUGGGGAUGACGUCAAAUCAUCAUGCCCCUUAUGACCUGGGCUACACACGUGCUACAAUGGUUGGUACAACGAGUUGCGAGUCGGUGACGGCGAGCUAAUCUCUUAAAGCCAAUCUCAGUUCGGAUUGUAGGCUGCAACUCGCCUACAUGAAGUCGGAAUCGCUAGUAAUCGCGGAUCAGCACGCCGCGGUGAACACGUUCCCGGGCCUU